RNAcentral lists this ribosomal RNA (484 nucleotides) under uncultured bacterium. RNAcentral describes it as "partial 16S ribosomal RNA". It matches the Rfam family "Bacterial small subunit ribosomal RNA", at positions 30 to 507 of the family's 1533-position model. The record is from RNAcentral.
AUUGAACGCUGGCGGCAGGCCUAACACAUGCAAGUCGAGCGGAUGAAGGGAGCUUGCUCCUGGAUUCAGCGGCGGACGGGUGAGUAAUGCCUAGGAAUCUGCCUGGUAGUGGGGGAUAACGUCCGGAAACGGGCGCUAAUACCGCAUACGUCCUGAGGGAGAAAGUGGGGGAUCUUCGGACCUCACGCUAUCAGAUGAGCCUAGGUCGGAUUAGCUAGUUGGUGGGGUAAAGGCCUACCAAGGCGACGAUCCGUAACUGGUCUGAGAGGAUGAUCAGUCAAACUGGAACUGAGACACGGUCCAGACUCCUACGGGAGGCAGCAGUGGGGAAUAUUGGACAAUGGGCGAAAGCCUGAUCCAGCCAGGCCGCGUGUGUGAAGAAGGUCUUCGGAUUGUAAAGCACUUUAAGUUGGGAGGAAGGGCAGUAAGUUAAUACCUUGCUGUUUUGACGUUACCAACAGAAUAAGCACCGGCUAACUUCGUG